CAUUCAACAUACCUGAAAUGAAGCUAUGGACUCUAUUCUAUUGAGGGCUCAGGGCUCCCUUCCACGUCAAUCUCCUUGGAAGGAUAUGCCAUUGUUCUUUCUUCUAAUGGUUAUCCAAAAACACCACCAAACUUGGUUAGGAAGUGUCAAGGAACAUUUGUGCCACCAGCCUUGGCAGAGGAGUUCAAAGUUCAUCAGAAAUGUUCUGAAAGGUCCUGUCCCAGCAUGAGUAGCCAGCUGUUCACAGAACAUAAGUUCAGGGGAAGAAAAUUCAUUAAACCCAACUUAGUUUUCUCAAGAGACCACUAUAUUUGACAUAUCUAUUAAGACAUAAAAGGCAGUUGAUUGUGGAAAAUAACAGCAGACUCCUAAUUUAAACAGAGAACUCAGGACAGGAUUACUUGAGGAUGUAACAUUGAAAAGGAGUCAUGAAGAUGGCCAAGUGCAGGUGAGAGGAAAGAAGGUGAAGUAGGAAGUACAUAAUGGAGGCUCCAUGGCUGGAAUAGCUGGUUUCAAAGAAGGAAGUAAGGCUAUUGUCAUUGCUGGAAAGAUGGGGUGCUACCAAAUCAGGAGCAGCCUCCAUGCUUCUAUGAGGAUUAUAGACACUCUGCAUUCAACAGAUUGUCAUGGAGAAUCAGGAAAAUCACUUUUGAAGUCAUUUCUUCUUUUCUACCCCUUAAUUUAGUUAUUUGUAUUUCUGUAUUUUUAAAAUAUAUAGAUCCAUUGAAUAGA
Molecule: non-coding RNA, 732 nt
Organism: Cricetulus griseus (Chinese hamster)
Lineage: Eukaryota; Metazoa; Chordata; Mammalia; Rodentia; Cricetidae
Source: RefSeq, a predicted model, not a curated record